This 72-nucleotide transfer RNA is filed under the name Planctomycetota bacterium. RNAcentral describes it as "tRNA-Asn". It matches the Rfam family "tRNA". From Rfam's summary of the family: Transfer RNA (tRNA) molecules are approximately 80 nucleotides in length. Their secondary structure includes four short double-helical elements and three loops (D, anti-codon, and T loops). Further hydrogen bonds mediate the characteristic L-shaped molecular structure. tRNAs have two regions of fundamental functional importance: the anti-codon, which is responsible for specific mRNA codon recognition, and the 3' end, to which the tRNAs corresponding amino acid is attached (by aminoacyl-tRNA synthetases). tRNAs cope with the degeneracy of the genetic code in two manners: having more than one tRNA (with a specific anti-codon) for a particular amino acid; and 'wobble' base-pairing, i.e. permitting non-standard base-pairing at the 3rd anti-codon position. Lineage: Bacteria; Pseudomonadati; Planctomycetota. The record is from RNAcentral. RNAcentral also lists the same sequence under 1 other name.
AGCGGCGUGGUGAAAACGGUAUCACUCUGCACUGUUAAUGCAGGAUUCCUGGUUCGAGUCCAGGCACCGCUG